Molecule: ribosomal RNA, 448 nt
Filed under: uncultured Vibrio sp.
Lineage: Bacteria; Pseudomonadati; Pseudomonadota; Gammaproteobacteria; Vibrionales; Vibrionaceae
Description: bacterial SSU rRNA
Rfam family: Bacterial small subunit ribosomal RNA
Source: RNAcentral
CCAUGCAAGUCGAGCGGAAACGACAACAUUGAAUCUUCGGAGGAUUUGUUGGGCGUCGAGCGGCGGACGGGUGAGUAAUGCCUAGGAAAUUGCCUUGAUGUGGGGGAUAACCAUUGGAAACGAUGGCUAAUACCGCAUAACGCCUACGGGCCAAAGAGGGGGACCUUCGGGCCUCUCGCGUCAAGAUAUGCCUAGGUGGGAUUAGCUAGUUGGUGAGGUAAUGGCUCACCAAGGCGACGAUCCCUAGCUGGUCUGAGAGGAUGAUCAGCCACACUGGAACUGAGACACGGUCCAGACUCCUACGGGAGGCAGCAGUGGGGAAUAUUGCACAAUGGGCGAAAGCCUGAUGCAGCCAUGCCGCGUGUAUGAAGAAGGCCUUCGGGUUGUAAAGUACUUUCAGUUGUGAGGAAGGGUGUGUAGUUAAUAGCUGCGCAUCUUGACGUUAGCA